This 492-nucleotide ribosomal RNA is filed under the name uncultured bacterium. RNAcentral describes it as "partial 16S ribosomal RNA". It matches the Rfam family "Bacterial small subunit ribosomal RNA", at positions 29 to 507 of the family's 1533-position model. The record is from RNAcentral.
AGUGAACGCUGGCGGUAGGCCUAACACAUGCAAGUCGAACGGCGGCACAGUAAGAGCUUGCUCUUACGGGUGGCGAGUGGCGGACGGGUGAGGAAUACAUCGGAAUCUACUUUUUCGUGGGGGAUAACGUAGGGAAACUUACGCUAAUACCGCAUACGACCUACGGGUGAAAGCAGGGGAUCUUCGGACCUUGCGCGAUUGAAUGAGCCGAUGUCGGAUUAGCUAGUUGGCGGGGUAAAGGCCCACCAAGGCGACGAUCCGUAGCUGGUCUGAGAGGAUGAUCAGCGACACUGGAACUGAGACACGGACCAGACUCCUACGGGAGGCAGCAGUGGGGAAUAUUGGGCAAUGGGCGCAAGCCUGAUCCAGCCAUACCGCGUGGGUGAAGAAGGCCUUCGGGUUGUAAAGCCCUUUUGUUGGGAAAGAAAAGCAGCAGGUUAAUACCCCGCUGUUCUGACGGUACCCAAAGAAUAAGCACCGGCUAACUUCGUG